Molecule: small RNA, 2411 nt
Filed under: Caenorhabditis elegans
Lineage: Eukaryota; Metazoa; Nematoda; Chromadorea; Rhabditida; Rhabditidae
Description: Unclassified non-coding RNA H04J21.5
Source: RNAcentral
GAAAUUUGCCCCAACUGGAACUUCUCGAAAACUUGUACAUUCUGCACGCGGCGUAUAGCUUUGAUUCGGAUCAAAAAUCAAUACUUGACGUGAUUCUUGAUUAUACAUUGGGAGUUUUUUGUAAUCAAAUGAUGGAAUGGAUGACUACGGGCGAAAUUCCCACCAGUGAUAAGGUUUUUUGACUGAAAAUUGAAAAAAAAAUGGCUUAAUUUUAAAAUUUUUGAGUUUCAGUGGAUUAUUGAGAAGAAUGAGCAGAGCGGAGAGCUUUUUCUGCGGAAAAUUCCAAUUUUUAUCACGGAUUCGGAUGCUAGAAUUGUGAGUUUUUAUUUAAAAAACUGAUUUUAACUGGAAAAAUUUUGAUUUUUUAGCAAAAAAUCUCUUUCCUCGAAUUUUCCUCGAAUUUUUUAUCGAAAAAUCGACUUUUCUGCAAUUUUUGAGCCCAGAUACUAAUUGGUGGCCGAACUCUUUGGAUUUCUAAGCCACCGAUCGAGAAAUCUCUAAAAAAAAUCUAGUUUUCUGACAAAAGUCGAUGUUUUCAUGAUUUUUGAUCCUAAAAAUCGAUUUCUCGGCAGUUUUUUGACCGAAAAAUGAGUUGAUGGCCGAACUUUUUGGAUUUCUAGGCCACGAGUUGAAAUUUUCGGAAUUUUAGACAUUUUUGUCCAAUUUUCGAUAUGAAAAUCAAAUUUUUUCGGCAGGUUUUAGAUCAAAAAUGGAUUGGUGGCUGAACUUUUUGGAUUUCUAGGCCACCAAGUGGAAAAAAUUCGGGUUUUUCGUGCAAACUUCAUUUAUUGAGUCGAAAUUCAAUUCGCAAUCGAAAAAAAAAGUCGAAUUUUUCAUAAAUAAAUUGGUGGCCGAACUCCUUGGAUUUCUAGGCCAUCAGUUGAAAAUUCAUUAAACAAAAAGGUGAAGUUGGUGGCCGAAAUUGUGCGAUUUCUAGGCCAACAAUUUCGAAAAUUUUGAAUUUUUGUUGAAAAAAUAAUCUAGUUUUGAUAGGUGGCCGAACUUUUUCGAAUUUCUAGGCCACUAAUCGAAAAAUAGACUAUUGUUUUUUUUUUCAGAGUUGUUUUUCGAAUAUUCUCCAAGCAAAUAUGAAAAUAUUUAGAAAAAUGUCAUGAAUUUACUGGAUUUUUCGAAAAAAAAUCUUCAAUUUUUCCUCUGAAAUGGACAAAAAUUGGCCAGCUUUCAGUAAAAUCUCUGAAAAUAUUUAUUUUUAUUCAAAAUCGGAGAUUUCUUUGACUUUUCUCACCAAAAAUCGAUAAUUCCUUGACUCUUGUGCUUCUACUCAGAUUGGUGGCAUAAAAACUGUAUUUAUUCACAUUUUCAUCCUUAAAUUGGGCUGAAAAUGUGAAUAAAUACCGUAUUUCUGCCAACAAUUCGACAAUAGAGCACAUUUGUCACUCGGAGACGCCGAAGCUAUGCCCAAAUUUUCAAUUUUUCCCGAAAAACUUGUGAUUUUCGCAGAUUUUCAGUUGAAAAUUCGAAUUCUCCAUCCCUUUUUACGCCCGUCACCCGGUUUUCAGACAAUUUGGGCCAACUGUCGUAAAAUUCGGUGCCGAGUACGCAAACAUCGGUGUUUGCGUACUUUUGGAGCUACCGUAACCCUUGAAAUUUAAAUUUCAAGCUAGAGGCAAAGAAAAACGUGUUAUAGUGGUGAAAAUCCUCAGGAAAUUGGUUUUUCAUAAUGAAAAAUGCUGAAAAUUCCUAGAAAGUUGAAAAAAAACCUUAAUAUUUGUUUUUCGUUCAAAAUUGAAAAUAUUGAGCCAAAAUUUGAUGAAAAGCCACAGGAAUUCUCAUUUUUCUAGCAAUAUCACAUCUGGUGGCCUAACUUUUUGGAUUUCUCGGCCAUCUCAAUUUUCCAUAAUUUCAGUGGCUCUUGUGCUUCUACUCGUAUUGAUUGCAGUAAAAACGGGUAUUUAUUCACAUUUUCAGCCUUAAAUCAGCUGGAAAUGUGAAUAAAUACCGUAUUUCUGCAAACAAUUUGACAAUAGAGCACAUUUGUCACUCGGAGAUGCGGAAGCUAUGCCCAAAUUUUCAUUUUUCCCCCAAAAGCUUGUGAUUUUUCAAUUUAUUCUUCGAGUUUUAAUUUUUUUUUGCACAAAAAUUCGCUUGUCAUCAUGCAUUUUUCAGCUUCUCGAAAUUGGAAAAUCCCUUCCACACGUUGAAUCUGCAUCAGACUCGGAUCUGGAGGCAAUCGAUAAAGCGACUACAGUAGUCCGUACUCAAUUGGGUCCCAAAGCGAUUUUCUCGAAAAUUUUGGGCCAAAUCUUGCGUAUUCUCCGUGAUGUUGUGUGUGGAAUUGUGAUGCGGAUGGUGAUGGAAACUGGACGAUUAAAGGAACAUGUACUCAAAUCAACAUCAUUCUUCUUUUUGAGUGAUCCCAGAUUUACGACCACUCUCUACACUAUUAUAAA